UACGUAGGGCGCAAGCGUUGUCCGGAAUUAUUGGGCGUAAAGAGCUCGUAGGCGGUCUGUCGCGUCUGUUGUGAAAACUCGAGGCUCAACCUCGGGCUUGCAGUGGAUACGGGCAGACUAGAGUGCGGUAGGGGAGACUGGAAUUCCUGGUGUAGCGGUGAAAUGCGCAGAUAUCAGGAGGAACACCGAUGGCGAAGGCAGGUCUCUGGGCAUUAACUGACGCUGAGGAGCGAAAGCAUGGGGAGCGAACAGG
Molecule: ribosomal RNA, 253 nt
Filed under: uncultured bacterium
Lineage: Bacteria
Description: partial 16S ribosomal RNA
Rfam family: Bacterial small subunit ribosomal RNA
Source: RNAcentral